This 23-nucleotide small nuclear RNA is filed under the name Arabidopsis thaliana (thale cress). Its description in RNAcentral is "snRNA_11318". The record is from RNAcentral. Lineage: Eukaryota; Viridiplantae; Streptophyta; Magnoliopsida; Brassicales; Brassicaceae.
CUGCAAACGCUGGGUUUGCGGGU